UCAAGCUACUAAGGGCGCAUGGGGGAUGUCUUGGCGACAGAAGGCGAUGAAGGGCGUGGAAGACUGCGAUAAACUUGGUGGAGCUGUCAAACGAGCUUUGAUACCAGGGUUCCUGAAUGAUCACGUGCUGAAUACAUAAGCAUGUGAGGCUAACCCGGUGAACUGAAACAUCUAAGUAACCGGUGGAAAAGAAAGAAAAAUCGAUUCCCUCAGUAGCGGCGAGCGAACGGGGAUCUAGCCCAAACUGCGGAGGUUUUCCUCUGCGGGGUUGUAGGACUCUUCACAUGGGAGUUACAAAACAAUUUACUAGUAGAACGGUAUGGAACGGCCGGCCAUAGAGGGUGAUAGCCCCGUAUGCGAAAGUGAAUUGACUCCCGAGGAGCACCUGAGUAGGUCGGGUCACGUGGAACCCCGACUGAAUCUACGGGGACCAUCCCGUAAGGCUAAAUACUCUCUGUCGACCGAUAGUGAACUCAGUAGGGUGACUGAAAGAUGAGAAGAACCCCUGUUAGGGGAGGAAUGUGAACCUGAAACCAUGCGCUUACAAGCGGUCGGAGCACUAUGCCCCCUUGGGGGAAUGUGUGACGGCGUGCCUUUUGCAUAAUGAUCCGGCGAGUUACCGUUUGCGGCUUGGUUAAGGCCUUACGGGCUGGAGCCAUAGGGAAACCGAGUCUGAAUAGGGCGAAAUUGUCGUAGGUGGUAGACGCGAAACUGCGUGAUCUAUCCAUGGGCAGGUUGAAGCGCGGGUUAUACUGCGUGGAGGACCGAACUCACUUGGGUUGAAAACCGAGGGGAUGACCUGUGGAGAGGAGUGAAAGUCUAAUCAAACGCAGAGAUAGCUCGUUCUCUCCGAAAUAUCUUUAGGGAUAGCCUCGAGCCACUACGUACCGGGGGUAGAGAUACUGAAUUGGAUGGGGGGGCCUCCAAGCCUACCCCACCGAACCAAACUCCGAAUACCGGUGCGAUUAUCUCGGGAGUCAGUCCGCGGGGGAUAAGCUUCGCGGUCGAGAGGGAAACAACCCAGACCAUCUGCUAAGGUCCCGAAGGAAUACUUAGUCACUAAGGAAGUUGAAUUGCUAAGACAGCCAGGAUGUUGGCUUAGAAGCAGCCACCAUUUAAAAAGUGCGUAACAGCUUACUGGUCGAGCAGUUCUGCGCCAAUAAUGAACGGGAGUAAGUAUUACACCGAAGCAGUGGAUUGCGGUAAUCUUAGGAUUACUGCAGUGGUAGGAGAGCGCUGUACGUCAGAUACAAGCCGUACCGAAAGGAGCGGUGUCGGGGCGUACACGGAAUGAGUAACGAUAAAGCAGGUGAGAAUCCUGCUCGCCGAAAGCCUAAGGUUUCCUGGGGAAGGCAAUUCCGCCCAGGGUUAGCCGGUUCCUUAGUCGAGGCCGAAAGGCGUAGACGAUGGACAGCAGGUCAACAUUCCUGCGCUAACGUGUGGACCGAUGGGGGGACGGCGUCCGAAUGGUGAGCGGUACGAAUAGAAAUGUCCGUGGCUCCUAUUAAGGUGAGGGACAGGAAAAUCCACCCUCGUAAGCCAAGAUAGGGGACCGACUGCAAUUAUGUUCAGGAAGUCAUCUGAAGGACGUCCAAGAAAAGCCUCUAAGGAUUGAAGCACGUUAACCGUACUAAAACUGACACAGGUAGGCGAGACGAGUAGUCUAAGGCGCUCGGGAGAACGGUGGUUAAGGAACUCUGCAAAAUGACCCCGUAAGUUCGCGAUAAGGGGUGCCUCCGGCGGUUCACGCUGCUGGAGGCCACAGAAAAUCGGCUCCUGCGACUGUUUAUCAAAAACACAGGACUCUGCUAACUCGUAAGAGGAUGUAUAGGGUCUGACGCCUGCCCGGUGCUGGUAGGUUAAGGAAGGCGGUUAUCCCCCUCUGGUUCUUCGGAAACACGGGGAGAAGCUGGCGACCGAAGCCCCAGUAAACGGCGGCCGUAACUAUGACGGUCCUAAGGUAGCGAAGUUCCUUGUCGGGUAAGUUCCGACCUGCAUGAAAG
RNAcentral lists this ribosomal RNA (2003 nucleotides) under Planctomycetaceae bacterium. RNAcentral describes it as "bacterial LSU rRNA". It matches the Rfam family "Bacterial large subunit ribosomal RNA", at positions 3 to 1998 of the family's 2925-position model. Lineage: Bacteria; Pseudomonadati; Planctomycetota; Planctomycetia; Planctomycetales; Planctomycetaceae. The record is from RNAcentral.